RNAcentral lists this unclassified non-coding RNA (214 nucleotides) under Hevea brasiliensis (rubber tree). Lineage: Eukaryota; Viridiplantae; Streptophyta; Magnoliopsida; Malpighiales; Euphorbiaceae. The record is from RNAcentral.
GAACCAUUUCACAUAAGUCAUCUCAAUUUCCAGCUCACUACACGACUGCACCCAAUUUUGAAAAAUAUGCACCAACAUGCAGAAGUUUUACCUCAAAGAAAUAAAUGACUUCACGAUGGUGCACGAUGUAUAGAUAGCUAAAUCUAGUAAACUAUCAAAUGGAAUACAAAUAAAAAAGGGAGGUCUUUGCUCACCAUAGACUGUCUUCUUGGAC